Dreissena polymorpha is the source of this 6504-nucleotide long non-coding RNA. RefSeq lists it as uncharacterized. The record is from RefSeq and is a predicted model, not a curated record. NCBI's taxonomy places the organism in Eukaryota, Metazoa, Mollusca, Bivalvia, Myida, Dreissenidae. The transcript has 10 exons.
CACGAAGGGAGAUAACUUAGUCUGUUGUAAAAAAUGGCGGUGAUUUUAUUGACGCCGACAAUUACAUCAGAGAGGAAGAAAUCAAAACGUGCGAACGUUUUGUUUUUUUGGCAAGACGUGGGUCACCGAAGUCUACAGAUAAUGGAUGCAUUUUUACAUCUGCUGUGUUUGCCUUUGGAUGGCAGUGUUCUCCAUGUAGCAAGUACAGUAUGGACUGCCAUAUUUUUGGGACAAGACCCUGAUAAACACAGGUAUUUAAGCGAGGUGCAGAUACUGGAGUAUGAUCAUCUGGUUGGUGCAGUCAAUGAGGGUGGAUUCCACUGGUCUCUUAUAGUUGUGCAACCGAAAGACAACAAAGUUUUGUACAUAAAUCCGAUGGGGGAGCAGAAUGUUUCCCAGCAACAGAUCCUGCAACAAUGGAUGUAAAUGUGUACAUUAUUUAAUUAAACAGUAAAUUUGUGCACAUUCGGCGCUUAUCCAGCAUUGAUAUGGGCGGACCAAUACAUUGGAACAUACUCUGCCCACGUCAUGCAAAACAGUCAGAUUCAAUAUCUUGCGGUGUCUACGUUUUAAAGUAAGCAGAAUGCUACCUGCAGAAUCAAUCCCUAGAGUUUGUGCUCAGCAAAACACAACUACUAGAAGAACGGAGACAAAUAGCCAGAAGACUGCUUUCUGAAGGGGAAUUCAUUGAAGGUCAUCUAGAAGAGAUAGCAAGUAGCCCAUCAGUCGAACAUGAGAACUCGGACCAGCUCGCAAACACCCCUGCCUCUGCCAUGGAGUUGGAAGGGCGAGACACUGACCCAGUAGUCGAUCAUGUGGCAACAACUAGGAACUCGGACCAGCUGGCAAACAACCCUGCCUCUGCCAUGGAGUUGGAAGGGGGGAGACACUGACCCAGUGGUCGAUCAUGUAGCAACAGCCAGGGUGAGUCAAAGCGGACACAGUUGAUGAGGAAAUAUGCAUCCAGCAUUGGAAGCACAAUUUUUCUUUAAAAAAAUACAAUUUAUUUAAUUUAAUUUACAUAAUGCCCUGUCUGUUGGUUUGUUUGUUUGUGCAAACCUUAACAUUUGCAAUAACUUUAUUAAAGUACCUUUAAUAUUAAAGGUAGCAACUUCAUAUAUAGCAUGCAUGUGCAUCUCAAGGAGCUACACACUUUGAGUUGUGUAAGGUCAAGGUAUUUUUUUUUUGGUAAAAUUGAUGAAUUAAUAUGAUAUCUCUUUGCAAAUUGUUUUAAAAUUAUUACAUAACUUGUUUCAGAAACAUUGUUUAAUAACAUUCAAUUGUCAUUUAUUCGAAUUUGAAAGUUGUCAAAAGUAAUUAUUUCUCCCUAUACGGUAGCUUUAGGUAUAUGUGAUAUUUCAUGAGAAAACUAGUCUUCAUUGCAUUACAAAUUAAUGAAGCAUUCUUUACAUUUGCUUUUAUAACAAAAAAACCUAGUUUAGACUUGUAAAAUUGAUAAAAAUAAUUAUUUGAACAUAAAGUUUGACCAGAGUGUACAAUUUAAACACACAAGUUUAUAACGACGUGUAUCUUGUGCUUUGCAUUUGUUUAAAAGUUGCCUUAUAAUUGUGCGAAGCAUGUCUUCUCAAAUUAAAAAUGCAUCUUAUUCAAAGGUGAUCAGAACUAAAUGUGUUUUUUUUAAUAAUUCAGGGAUAACAAAAAUCAGACUAAGAAACCAUAUGCAAUAAUUCAUAGUCUGUUGUCUUCACAGAGAGAAACUUCAAUAAAAAAUAUGCUGUCAUUUUAUAAUACCUUCGUGUUUGCCUCACGGUUGCCUAUUGAUUUGUUUUAAAAUAGGAAGUUUAUAAUGAGGUAUAUAACACAAAGAAAUUUCAUAUUUGAAUCAUUUUUAUGCUCCUCUAAAAAAUUCUUGUCUGAGCUUUUUCUCAGUAACUUAUUACGGGAAUUCAAUGAAACUUUAUGGGAAGCUUCACUACCAAGAGGAGAUGUGCAUGUUAUUAGCCAGUUAUGGUCGGAUGAUUUUUCACAGAGUUAUGGCCCAUUGAAAUUUUCCAUUUACUGUACAUAUUGUGCAUUCUUGUUCGGGCUAUUUCUCAGCAACUAAUGUCUGCAAUUGAAUGAAACUUUAUGGGAAGCUUCACUACCAACAGGACAUGUGCAUAUUAUCAGCAAGUUAUGGUCGGAUGAUUUUUCACAGAGUUAUGGCCCUUUGAAAUUUUCAAUAUACUGUACAUAUAGUGCAAUUCUUGUCUGGGCUAUUUAUCCCCAACUAAUGACUUGAAUUCAAUGAAGUUUUAUGGGAAGCUUAACUGCCUUGAAGAGAUGCGCGUGUUAUUUGUGGGUUCUGGUUAGAUGAUUUAUUUAGAGACUUAUGGCCCUUUGAAAUUGUUAAGUUGCUAAACCAUCCAUCCUAUUAUUUUGUCCAAAGUUAUGCCACUCAAGAUGUUUCCUUUUAUCUGAAUAUAUAGUGCAAUAUUGUGACCAAAAAAACUUUGGGGAGCUUCACCCAUCUCUGACGGCUUGUUUUAAUUAAAUAUUAAUUGUAAAUCCCAUAUCACCUUUUAUCAUACUUUUUUGUAAUUGACAACUUGGUUUUCUGACAAUUGUUUUCCUUGUUUUGUUUCAAAUAGGCAUGAUAUGGUUACUAUUAAAUCAACUUCAUAUGUUCUUCCCUUGUGAUAAGUAUUUUUAGCUCAUCUAUUUUUUGAAAAAAAAUUAUGAGCUAUUGUCAUCACCUUUGCGUUGGCGUCCGGUUAAGUUUUGCGUUUAGGUCCACUUUUCUCAGAAAGUAUCAAUGCUAUUGCAUUCAAACUUGGUACACUUACUUACCACCAUGAGAGGACUGGGCAGGCAAAGUUAGAUAACUCUGGCGUGCAAUUUGACAGAAUUAUGUGCCCUUUUUAUACUUAGAAAAUUGAAAAUUUUGGUUAAGUUUUGCGUUUAGGUCCACUUUUCUCAGAAAGUAUCAAUGCUAUUGCAUUCAAACUUGGAACACUUACUUACUAUCAUGAGGGGACUGGGCAGGCAAAGUUAGAUAACUCUGGCGUGCAUUUUGACAGAAUUAUGUGCCCUUUUUAUACUUAGAAAAUUGAAAAUUUUGGUUAAGUUUUGUGUUUAGGUCCAUUUUAUUCCGUAAGUAUCAAAGCUAUUGCUUUCAUACUUGCAACACUUACUAACUAUCAUAAGGGGACUGUGCAGGCAAAGUUAUGUAACUCUAACUGGCAUUUGGGCAGAAUUAUGGGCCCUUUAUACUUAGAAAAUUGAAAAUUUGGUUAAGUUUUGUGUUUUGGUCCACUUAACCCCUAAAGUAUCAUAGAUAUUGCUUUCAUACUUGGAACACUUGCAAACUAUCAUAAGGGUACAGUAAAAUGACAAGUUGCAUAACUCUGGUUGUCAUUUUUAUGGAAUUAUGGCCCUUUUUUGACUUAGUAACUUUGAAUAUAUGGUUAAAUUUUGUGUUUCGAUCCACUUUACUUCUUAACUAUCAAGGCUAUUGCUUUCAAACUUCAAAUACUUUCAUGCUAUCAUGAGGUGACUGUACCUGGCAAGUUGAAUUUUACCUUGAAUCCUACCCCCUACCCGAAUUGACCACCACACCCUCACACUAUACCACCCCACCUCCACCCAAAAUUUCAUUUUAUUUUAAUGGUUAAACCCCCUCCCCCCCCCCCCCCCCCCCCCCGAUUUUAUUUUUUUUCGCAUUUUUUUCCCCCUUUUUUUGAAAAUAAUGUCAUAAAUGUCCACAUUCCCAUGCUAUACACCCCUCUUCACUCCACCCCUCCCUCCUUUGUGAUUGAAAAUGAGAGUCCCUUCACCUUUAAAAAGAAAAUAGAUGAGCGGUCUGCACCCGCAAGGCGGUGCUCUUGUUUAUAUCUAUUUCUUAAUAUUUUUCAGUAGUAAUAAUGUCUAAGAAUGUAUCUGGGUAGAAUGAAUAUCUGUUCUUUUAAAGGUUGUAACUGAUGCUCUAUUUCUUUUGGACAUGACAUGUUACUGUCUCGUUUGUACAGAGAUUCAAUUAAAUACUACAUUUUAUUAUGUGUGAUUCUAUUUUUGUGUUCCAAAUAGGCAGUCUGACAUAUUAGGUAUAUUGAAAACUCUUACAUAUAACAUUUGUAAGUAUCUGUUAUUAAUGACAGUUAAAUGAAACAAUGGUUGUAUAGUUGUGUAUAUUACAAAGUAUAAUUAUUGUUAUAUUUCGAAAUUAGAAUUAUGUUUAUAUUUUAAUUUUCAUACACUUUCAACUAUAAUUUGUAAUAGUGCCGUUGCUACUUAAAUUUUAUGUGGUUUGGAUGCACACUGUUAUAUUCUAUGCUCCUUCAAAAUACAAUUAAGGUUUCACCUUAACGGUUAUAACGCGAGUGAAAAGCAAUAUACACUGUUAUCAUGUGAUUUAAAACAAGUUUUGUUCAAUUAUCUGUAAAGUUCAUUCAUAACUAUUUUAUAACGUGUCUGCUUAAUCCACUUACUAUAUUCAAGCAUUUUGCAUUAUUGUUUUUGUUUAACACUAGAAACUGUAAAGUAAGGUAUAUAUCUUGUUGUAACUUUAAUUGCAUUUAUUAUGUACUGCAUAUUAAUUGUUGGGAUAGUUCCGCAUAUGUAACGUGUUUUUAUUCACGUGUUUUUAUGUCCCCCACUAUAGUAGUGGGGGACAUAUUGUAUUUGCCCUGUCUGUUGGUCUGUUGGUCUGUCUGUCUGUUUGCGCCAACUUUAUUAUUUUGCAAUAACUUUAACUAUAUUGAAGAUAGCAACUUCAUAUUUGGCAUGCAUGUGUAUCUCAUGAAGCUGCACAUUUUGAGUGGUGAAAGGUCAAGGUCAUCCUUCAAGGUCAGAGGACAAAUAUAUGUGGCCCAAAUCGCUUAUUUUAUAAAUACUUUUGCAAUAUUGAAGAUAGCAACUUGAUAUUUGGCAUGCAUGUGCAUCUCAUGGAGCUGCACAUUUUGAGUGGUGAAAUGUCGAGGUCAAGGUCAUCCUUGAAGGUCAGAGGUCAAAUAUAUGUGGCCCAAAUCGCUUAUUUUAUGAAUACUUUUGCAAUAUUGAAGAUAGCAACUUGAUAUUUGGCAUGCAUGUGUAUCUCAUGGAGCUGCACAUUUUGAGUGGUGAAAGGUCAAGGUCAAGGUCAUCCUUCACAAGGUCAAGGUCAUCCUACAAGGUCAAACAUCAUAUAGGGGGACAUUGUGUUUCACAAACGCAUCUUGUUUAAUCUGUCUUUGUGUUUUAACGGUCGCCUUUAAUGGACUGUCAAAACUGUGUUUGAAUGUAUUUAAUCAAUUGCCAUUAUUAUCUUUUUAAUGAAGGUUAUAUUAUAGUAUCGUGUCUGUUCCUAGAUGUAUUCUACGACAAUAUGGCUGCAUUUUUAGAACUGUUAUGCACUGAUUUACAACUAUUAUGUCACAUUAAAUACUGUACUUGUAACAUCUAUAUUUUCAUAGAGCAUAUUACAUGACCUUUUGACCAUCUACAUUUUUUAUUGCGUAGGUGGUCUGUUUAUGGUUUAUGAAAUGCUUGUUUUUAAUAUCAAACGCAACCAGUUAAAACAUUUUGUUUCUCGUGUUUGUUUAACUACAGACACCUUUUCAUAAUGUCAUAAUAUCAGUUUCAUUAAAUAAUAUAUUGUACUAUGUGCAGAGCCUUUGAGCUGCCUAUAUUUUUGUUUCGCAAAGGUAGCAAGCAAGGGCUAAUUCUUAUGAAAUUGAUACAAGCAUGAAAAAAGCAUAAUUGAUAUUUAGUUAAAUACUGUUUGCUAUCACGUGAAACGAAAUUUGUUACGCGGGGUAAGUAAAACGUGUUAUUAUUGUGACAAUUGUCAUGUGAAGACCCAAUAUAUGUACAAUAUGCUUAUUUGAUAUUUUGUUGUCAUAAUUAAGCUCCAUUACAAAUGAUGUAAUACGACCUAUUCAAUUACAUAUAUACUAUCAAUGGUUAUUAAUAUAAUUAUACCUAUAUUUAUGCCCCUCUUCGAAGAAGAGGGGGUAUAUUGCUUUGCUCAUGUCGGUCGGUCUGUUGGUCGGUCGGUCCGUACACCAGGUGGUUUCCGGAUGAUAACUCAAUAACGCUUGGGCCUAGGAUCAUGAAACUUCAUAGGAACAUUGAUCUUUACUCGCAGAUGACCCCUAUUGAUUUUUAGGUCACUAGGUCAAAGGUCAAGGUCACAGUGACAAAAAUCAUAUACACACAAUGGCUGCCACUACAACGGACAGUCCAUAUGGGGGGCAUGCAUGUUUUACAAACAGCCCUUGUUUUUAUAUUGCAUUAAAUUGAGUUUAUUAGCCUCAUACACUCUGACGCACUUAGGAUAUAUUUAAUUACAUGUAUACUUUCGAUAAUUAUUUAUGUUCUAGUGUAAUGUAUAAUAACUCAUAAUGUAUAAUAAUUCAUGUGUGCACCGUUGUAACCAAACGAUUUUAUUUCUUUGCAUAACUUUAUUUUGUAUAAACAUAAACUGUGUAUUGUGGAAACACUGUAUCAUGUAUGCUUGAUUUGUCCACUUGGGCUUUUGGCUUUCUGGAUGGAUUGUUUAAUAAACUAUGUUCUAAAAAAUGCAAA